Coturnix japonica (Japanese quail) is the source of this 1875-nucleotide long non-coding RNA. Ensembl lists it as uncharacterized. The record is from Ensembl. NCBI's taxonomy places the organism in Eukaryota, Metazoa, Chordata, Aves, Galliformes, Phasianidae.
GACCCACACCAAGCCUCUAGAUCCCUUGCCCCUUGGGGCAGUGGGGAGCAGAAGAUCCGGUAUGCCGGCUGUUGAAGGAAUGACUUCUUCUGGUCCAGGUUCCAGGUUCACCACAGAGGAUGCAAUGAGGAAACCAGUGCAUUCGAAGGUGAAAUACAAAAGGGGUUCCCUCCCUCUCUGGGUUUUGAGUAAUGGAUUUGCAGUCUGCCAGGUUGGGUAGAUAAGAGGAGCUGGUGACAACAGGUUUCUGGGUCCUGGCCAAAGGCAGCCACUCAUCUGGGAAGCCCAGAGGGAGAAAUGAGUGAAAUGCUGGAAUAGAGUAAUGAGGAUAUAGAAUAUAUUCUUGCACGUAAUGAACGACACUGCUGGCAAGGCACAAGGAACCUUCUGUAAGAUGCUGUGUGCUGGCACAGUUAUUGGUUCCUUUUAUCUCAGUAGGUGCUUUAAGUAUUUCAACUUUGUCCAAAGCACCAAAAUGAGCCUGAAGGUUCAUCUCACCCACUUUCCUGUCUCCAGCAGUGGGCUGUGGUGGAUGCCAAGGGGGGAGCACGGGAAACAGGAUGAGCACAUAGUGAUUUCUUCCCUAAAAUCCUCUGCACAUCUCCUGAAGUUUACACUGUGAAUCACCAUCCCUGGAGGUGUUCAGGAACCACAGAGAUGUGGCACUGAGGGACAUGGUCAGUGGGCAUGGUGGGUGUGGGCUGGUAGUUGGGCUAGAUGAUCUUGGAGGUCUUUUCCAACCUUAAUGAUUCUAUGAUUCUGUGUUUCUGUCACCACCUUUAGAAGGUGACAGAAGGUGACCAAGCUCCUUGUGUUUGCUUCCUCUCCUUCCAGCCACCUGUGUCACUGGGUAUGUACAAGAGCAUGUACAAGAAGGAAUACACAUGGAAAGAGGGAAUCAAACCACCCACUGAGGAGGAUGUGCAGAAGCUCAGAGCCAAGGAGUUUGCUGUGCCCAAGGAGCCGCAGGUGAUACCAUACUAUGACAAAGCUGUCAGGGAAGGGAGAGAAGUCGCACCAAGUGAGAAGCAAGAAGGCACUGCCAUCAGUCCCAGAAUGCUGCAGCAGGCUCAUGAAGAGCAGAGAAAGCCCUUCAGUUCUGACUUCCCCAUCGCAGAAAGCCAUGCACCAAAGCAGUACCUCACUACUGAACUGGCAGGACCAGAGAGGCCACAGGCUCUCAGUGGGCUGAAAAAUGAACUGUCUUCUUCCCAGAACCUUCAGGCUGCUGGUGGUGGCCUAGGAGCAGCAGGGUCGAUGCUGUAUAGGCAGAAGCUGGAUCCGACCUGGGGUACCUACCAGCACUUCAUGCUGGAGGCAGGCCAGGCCCUGCAACACGAGGCUCAGCAGAACAAGAAUAUGGGCAUAGGCUCAUCGGUUUUGAAGAAAGAGGGCUCUGACCAUGACCAGAGAACUACCUACAGCAUCGACUUCCAGGGCCAGCCUGUAGCCGACAAAGGAAGCUGUGUAGCAAAUAAGAAUCAAUCUCACGUUUUCACUGAAGAUGUACUCCUCCGCAAGAACCGCUGGGUGUCUGAAUACAAGGACAACUACAGCGUUCAGCUACAGAAGCUGAAUCGAGCAUCUAAAGGCUACACUGCAGAGCUUGGCUCUGCCUUGAAGCCCCAAGGGGAGUCCUCCCAGAGUGAGGCUGCACCAGACACAGCCCAGUGAAUGGUGCUGCAUGCUCCCUAUUCUCCAAGCCAUGGGAUAUUUUCCACCGUAGAUCCUGGAAGCCUGGAAACGUCUCUUCCAAACCCACCAUUACCAAAUACUUCUAAAUUGUUCAGCAGAAACCUUUUUACGCACAAAUUUCAGGAAGAAACAUGAGCUUUUCUCACUGUCUGAAAUAAAAAGGGUUUUUUGGACGGCGCA